UACGUAGGUGGCGAGCGUUGUUCGGAUUUACUGGGCGUAAAGGGAGCGUAGGCGGAUUUUUAAGUGAGAUGUGAAAUACUCGGGCUCAACUUGAGUGCCGCAUUUCAAACUGGAAGUCUAGAGUGCAGGAGAGGAGAAUGGAAUUCCUAGUGUAGCGGUGAAAUGCGUAGAGAUUAGGAAGAACACCAGUGGCGAAGGCGAUUCUCUGGACUGUAACUGACGCUGAGGCUCGAAAGCGUGGGGAGCAAACAGG
This 253-nucleotide ribosomal RNA is filed under the name uncultured bacterium. Its description in RNAcentral is "partial 16S ribosomal RNA". It matches the Rfam family "Bacterial small subunit ribosomal RNA", at positions 524 to 776 of the family's 1533-position model. The record is from RNAcentral.